GGCACAGGUCUGAAGUAGAGUAGAUUACAUGAUCAGCUGACCCUACUAAUCUACUCUACUUUGAACUUGUGCCC
This is a non-coding RNA of Haemonchus contortus (barber pole worm), 74 nucleotides long. Lineage: Eukaryota; Metazoa; Nematoda; Chromadorea; Rhabditida; Trichostrongylidae. The record is from Rfam.